GGAUGAACGCUAGCGGGAGGCUUAACACAUGCAAGUCGAGGGGCAGCAUUCACUUCGGUGAGAUGGCGACCGGCGCACGGGUGCGUAACGCGUAUGCAACCUACCUUUUACAGAAGGAUAGCCCGAAGAAAUUCGGAUUAAUACUCCAUAAAGCAUUUAUACCGCAUGGUUUAAAUGUUAAACAUUUAUGGGUAAAAGAUGGCUAUGCGUUCUAUUAGCUAGAUGGUAAGGUAACGGCUUACCAUGACAACGAUAGGUAGGGGGUCUGAGAGGAUUAUCCCCCACACUGGUACUGAGACACGGACCAGACUCCUACGGGAGGCAGCAGUGAGGAAUAUUGGUCAAUGGAGGAAACUCUGAACCAGCCAUGCCGCGUGCAGGAAGACUGCCCUAUGGGUUGUAAACUGCUUUUAUAUAGGAAGAAACCCCUCUACGUGUAGAGGCUUGACGGUACUAUAUGAAUAAGGACCGGCUAACUCCGUGCCAGCAGCCGCGUUAAUACGGAGGGUGCAAGCGUUAUCCGGAAUCAUUGGGUUUAAAGGGUCCGUAGGCGGACUAAUAAGUCAGGGGUGAAAUCCAACAGCUUAACUGUUGAACUGCCUUUGAUACUGUUAGUCUUGAAUUAUAUGGAAGUAGAUAGAAUGUGUAGUGUAGCGGUGAAAUGCAUAGAUAUUACACGGAAUACCGAUUGCGAAGGCAGUCUACUACGUAUAUACUGACGCUAAUGGACGAAAGCGUGGGGAGCGAACAGGAUUAGAUACCCUGCUAGUCAACGCCGUAAACGAUGGACACUAGUUGUUGGAUUUAUUUUCAGUGACUAAGCGAAAGUGAUAAGUGUCCCACCUGGGGAGUACGAUCGCAAGAUUGAAACUCAAAGGAAUAGACGGGGACCCGCACAAGUGGUGGAGCAUGUGGUUUAAUUCGAAAAUACGCGAGGAACCUUACCAGGGCUUAAAUGUGGGAUGACAGGGCUAGAGAUAGCUUUUUCUUCGGACUACUUACAAGGUGCUGCAUGGUUGUCGUCAGCUCGUGCCGUGAGGUGUCAGGUUAAGUCCUAUAACGAGCGCAACCCCUAUCGUUAGUUGCUAGCAGGUCAUGCUGAGGACUCUAGCGAGACUGCCGGUGCAAACCGUGAGGAAGGUGGGGAUGACGUCAAAUCAUCACGGCCCUUACGUCCUGGGCCACACACGUGCUACAAUGGUAUGGACAAUGAGCAGCCACUAUGUGAAUAGGAGCGAAUCUAUAAACCAUAUCACAGUUCGGAUCGGAGUCUGCAACUCGACUCCGUGAAGCUGGAAUCGCUAGUAAUCGGAUAUCAGCCAUGAUCCGGUGAAUACGUUCCCGGUCCUUGUACACACCGCCCGUCAAGCCAUGGAAGCUGGGAGUGCCUUAAGUCGGUCACCGCAAGGAGCCGCCUAGGGUAAAA
RNAcentral lists this ribosomal RNA (1426 nucleotides) under uncultured prokaryote. RNAcentral's name for it is "partial 16S ribosomal RNA". It matches the Rfam family "Bacterial small subunit ribosomal RNA". The record is from RNAcentral.